CUGAUUUUCUUCCAUUAUGAAAAUGGCUUUCAUGAUGGACUUAGGAGGAGGUCAAGUAAUGAUUUGCACACUAGGUUUGCUGUCAAAGAGGAGAUACUUGUGUUUAUUUUGAGAAAGAAAUUAUGGAUUACCAGUGUCCUAAGGUUUUAGAUUUUCUCCAGAAGCAUAACAAAGAAAAGAUUUAAAAAUUUACCUUCACUGAUUUUAAUUCCUUUGUAACCACUAGUUUUCUUUCUUCCUUAGAUGCAGAAUCCUGAUACACUAUCAGCAAUGUCAAACCCUAGAGCAAUGCAGGCCUUGUUACAGAUUCAGCAGGGUUUACAGACAUUAGCAACGGAAGCCCCGGGCCUCAUCCCAGGGUUUACUCCUGGCUUGGGGGCAUUAGGAAGCACUGGAGGCUCUUCGGGAACUAAUGGAUCUAACGCCACACCUAGUGAAAACACAAGUCCCACAGCAGGAACCACUGAACCUGGACAUCAGCAGUUUAUUCAGCAGAUGUUGCAGGCUCUUGCUGGAGUAAAUCCUCAGCUACAGAAUCCAGAAGUCAGAUUUCAGCA
Molecule: small RNA, 557 nt
Filed under: Pongo abelii (Sumatran orangutan)
Lineage: Eukaryota; Metazoa; Chordata; Mammalia; Primates; Hominidae
Description: retained intron
Source: RNAcentral